RNAcentral lists this long non-coding RNA (1458 nucleotides) under Rattus norvegicus (Norway rat). RNAcentral describes it as "long non-coding RNA NONRATT019517". The record is from RNAcentral. Lineage: Eukaryota; Metazoa; Chordata; Mammalia; Rodentia; Muridae.
GAGUACAGGGAGCUUAUGGCCCUACAUGUCUCUUAAUAUACAUGCACAAUUAACAGUAGGUAUAGAUACCACAUGUAUGAUGAAAUGCUCCCCUUCCCCCCUAAAGGUAGCAUGCCAUUGAUUACUUUUUGCUUAGGGCCAUUUUAUUAAACCAGGGCCUUAAUCCUAAAAAGAGAUGAAUUUUUUCCCAUCCGUUCUCUUUCUUUUGAUCAUUGUAUCUUGAUAUUAAAAACUUGACCUUCGAAUGAUUGUAAUAAAUUAGUCUCUAUUUGUGUGUGUAUAUAUAUAUACACGCACAUACAUAUGCAUUUAUAUAAUGCUAUUGUAUAGAAACUUUAAGGAGACAUGAAAAUGUAUGCUUAUUCUCAGGUUCAUUCACUAAGGUGCUUGGCAAACAACCAGUUUUUAAGUGCAGAAUAUAGUUGAACAGCUUCAUAUAUAGGCCAGGUGAUUUGUUAAAUUUUCAGUGGUACAUGUACUUCAGGGAAAUGGGGUAAGUGUAGCUUAGGCUGAUCAUACUGUUCAUUUCAACCUUGAGCUCUGAAGCUGUAUCCCAUUUGAGGUAUUUAGUACUCUUAGUUUUAUUUAGUAUAAGUUAACAGGAAAAGUAAAUUAAGCUUUUUGCCUUUACUAUUUUGAAUUUAUAAAUAUUCUGGAAAAACUUAGAAACUGCUGUAAAUUUCCUUAGAUUAAAUUAUAUGAAACAUGAUUGCUUAUAGUCCUUGAGCAAAGCCUGUGAGUUGCAUACACCCUAAGGAAAACUUCCUUAAGUGCUCCUUGAGAGAGAUUCUGGGUGUGGUCUUUUUAAGGAAAAAGCUAGACUACUGUAUGUUCCCAGUCUUGGUACUGGAAGCGCACUGUACAUUAUUACUUUGUUGUGAAGCUCAACCAGUUUCCUGCGUAGCCUUGCCCCUCACUGUUGGGAUUGAAAGUAGCAGCAUCUCUGAUGUACUAUACCAGUGAGGUUCUGGUAUAUCUACUUGUCAGUAUUAAUUUCCUUAAGUACUAUAUUUCUUUAGGGAAACAACCUGAAAUUUAUUAGUACAUUUGGGUUUCUCUUGCCAGGCAUUAUGUUGCCAGUGUUAACUCUUCAGUGGUGACAAAAUUACCCAAGACACUAGUGGCCCAGAUGUAUGUAGUAAGUGGUAUGAUUCAACAAUGCAGUUAAUGAUAAAUACAUGAUGUAGUUAGUAUGAUCAGGAAAGACAACAUUGAAAGAUAAUUCAGCUAACAUAAGGGUGAGGAAUGGCAAACUGGAUUAAGAGUCAGAGGCAUAUGUUCCAGGGACUGAUGUUUGGUGCUUUAGCAAGAUCUGGCUGGAGAAACUGGAAAAGGCAGUUUUCCAUGUUUAGUUUUUGUAUCAACAUUUGGAAGCUAUUGAAGGCUUUAAAAUGGUGUAUGUAUUGUUCGGGGGUGUUGGGAUAGUGGGCCAUCCAAUAAAAUUACCAUUGAAAAGAC